Molecule: non-coding RNA, 24 nt
Filed under: Arabidopsis thaliana (thale cress)
Lineage: Eukaryota; Viridiplantae; Streptophyta; Magnoliopsida; Brassicales; Brassicaceae
Source: RNAcentral
GAAAAAGUGACUAUUUUGCCAACA